RNAcentral lists this ribosomal RNA (434 nucleotides) under uncultured bacterium. Its description in RNAcentral is "bacterial SSU rRNA". It matches the Rfam family "Bacterial small subunit ribosomal RNA", at positions 355 to 786 of the family's 1533-position model. The record is from RNAcentral.
UGAGGAAUAUUGGUCAAUGGACGCAAGUCUGAACCAGCCAUGCCGCGUGCAGGAAGAAGGUGCUAUGCAUUGUAAACUGCUUUUAUACGGGGUAAGUUACAGAUACGUGUAUCUGGUUGAAAGUACCGUAUGAAUAAGGAUCGGCUAACUCCGUGCCAGCAGCCGCGGUAAUACGGAGGAUCCGAGCGUUAUCCGGAUUUAUUGGGUUUAAAGGGUGCGUAGGCGGUCAGGUAAGUUAGAGGUGAAAGCUCGAUGCUCAACAUCGAAACUGCCUCUGAUACUGUCUGACUAGAGUGUAGUUGCGGAAGGCGGAAUGUGUGGUGUAGCGGUGAAAUGCUUAGAUAUCACACAGAACACCGAUUGCGAAGGCAGCUUUCCAAGCUAUUACUGACGCUGAGGCACGAAAGCGUGGGGAGCGAACAGGAUUAGAUACC